RNAcentral lists this ribosomal RNA (271 nucleotides) under uncultured bacterium. RNAcentral describes it as "partial 16S ribosomal RNA". It matches the Rfam family "Bacterial small subunit ribosomal RNA", at positions 524 to 794 of the family's 1533-position model. The record is from RNAcentral.
UACGUAGGGACCGAGCGUUGUCCGGAAUCAUUGGGCGUAAAGCGCGCGUAGGCGGCCGUCCACGUCGGGUGUGAAAGCUCGGGGCUCAACCCUGAGAGGCCACUCGAUACGGGACGGUUAGAGGCAGCUAGGGGAGAGUGGAAUACCUGGUGUAGCGGUGAAAUGCGCAGAUAUCAGGUGGAACACCGGUGGCGAAGGCGGCUCUCUGGGGCUGAUCUGACGCUGAGGCGCGAAAGCUGGGGUAGCAAACAGGAUUAGAUACCCCGGUAGU